UACGGAGGGUGCAAGCGUUAUCCGGAAUCAUUGGGUUUAAAGGGUCCGUAGGCGGAUUAAUAAGUCAGGGGUGAAAUCCAACAGCUUAACUGUUGAACUGCCUUUGAUACUGUUAGUCUUGAGUUAUAUGGAAGUAGAUAGAAUGUGUAGUGUAGCGGUGAAAUGCUUAGAGAUUACACAGAAUACCGAUUGCGAAGGCAGUCUACUACGUAUAUACUGACGCUAAUGGACGAAAGCGUGGGGAGCGAACAGG
This 253-nucleotide ribosomal RNA is filed under the name uncultured bacterium. RNAcentral describes it as "partial 16S ribosomal RNA". It matches the Rfam family "Bacterial small subunit ribosomal RNA", at positions 524 to 776 of the family's 1533-position model. The record is from RNAcentral.